GGGCGGUUAGCUCAGCGGCGAGAGCGCUACCCUUACAAGGUAGAUGCCGGGGGUUCAAAUCCCUCACCGCCCA
Molecule: transfer RNA, 73 nt
Filed under: bacterium
Lineage: Bacteria
Description: tRNA-Val
Rfam family: tRNA
About the family: Transfer RNA (tRNA) molecules are approximately 80 nucleotides in length. Their secondary structure includes four short double-helical elements and three loops (D, anti-codon, and T loops). Further hydrogen bonds mediate the characteristic L-shaped molecular structure. tRNAs have two regions of fundamental functional importance: the anti-codon, which is responsible for specific mRNA codon recognition, and the 3' end, to which the tRNAs corresponding amino acid is attached (by aminoacyl-tRNA synthetases). tRNAs cope with the degeneracy of the genetic code in two manners: having more than one tRNA (with a specific anti-codon) for a particular amino acid; and 'wobble' base-pairing, i.e. permitting non-standard base-pairing at the 3rd anti-codon position.
Source: RNAcentral